This 378-nucleotide ribosomal RNA is filed under the name Pseudomonas sp. ATCC 13867. Its description in RNAcentral is "bacterial LSU rRNA". It matches the Rfam family "Bacterial large subunit ribosomal RNA", at positions 2153 to 2529 of the family's 2925-position model. Lineage: Bacteria; Pseudomonadati; Pseudomonadota; Gammaproteobacteria; Pseudomonadales; Pseudomonadaceae. The record is from RNAcentral.
GGCUUUGAAGCGUGGACGCCAGUCUGCGUGGAGCCAUCCUUGAAAUACCACCCUGGCAUGCUUGAGGUUCUAACUCUGGUCCGUCAUCCGGAUCGAGGACAGUGUAUGGUGGGCAGUUUGACUGGGGGCGGUCUCCUCCUAAAGAGUAACGGAGGAGUACGAAGGUGCGCUCAGACCGGUCGGAAAUCGGUCGUAGAGUAUAAAGGCAAAAGCGCGCUUGACUGCGAGACAGACACGUCGAGCAGGUACGAAAGUAGGUCUUAGUGAUCCGGUGGUUCUGUAUGGAAGGGCCAUCGCUCAACGGAUAAAAGGUACUCCGGGGAUAACAGGCUGAUACCGCCCAAGAGUUCAUAUCGACGGCGGUGUUUGGCACCUCGA